CUGGAGAUGGGAACUCUAGGAUUGAAGACCCCAGAAAGCUCUCAAUGGCGCUGUUAUCCCGGAGAAGUAGGAAACUGGUGUGGUGUCCAGAGGAGGCUGAUCAACAGGAGAGGAAUAGGUGAACUACCGUACGAUUUCUCCAAAGCUCGGGCCAAUCAAGCAAUUAUGGACUGAACCCUCCAAAACCAAACCGUGAUCUGAAUGAAACUUUUCCCUCUCAAGCUGAUUUGUCUGGGUCCGGGGACAGAAAGGUCCGGGUAACAUAGUGUGCGCUUGUCAAACACAUUUCUGUAUCAUCCAUUAGAAGAAUGAGCAUGGCCCCAAGCUUAGCUA
This is a non-coding RNA of Peromyscus maniculatus bairdii (prairie deer mouse), 333 nucleotides long. NCBI's taxonomy places the organism in Eukaryota, Metazoa, Chordata, Mammalia, Rodentia, Cricetidae. The record is from RefSeq and is a predicted model, not a curated record.